ACACUCCUGCGGGAGGCAGCAGUGGGGAAUUUUGGACAAUGGGCGAAAGCCUGAUCCAGCCAUGCCGCGUGCAGGAUGAAGGCCUUCGGGUUGUAAACUGCUUUUGUACGGAACGAAACGGCCUUUUCUAAUAAAGAGGGCUAAUGACGGUACCGUAAGAAUAAGCACCGGCUAACUACGUGCCAGCAGCCGCGGUAAUACGCAGGGUGCAAGCGUUAAUCGGAAUUACUGGGCGUAAAGCGUGCGCAGGCGGUUAUGUAAGACAGUUGUGAAAUCCCCGGGCUCAACCUGGGAACUGCAUCUGUGACUGCAUAGCUAGAGUACGGUAGAGGGGGAUGGAAUUCCGCGUGUAGCAGUGAAAUGCGUAGAUAUGCGGAGGAACACCGAUGGCGAAGGCAAUCCCCUGGACCUGUACUGGCGCUCAUGCACGAAAGCGUGGGGAGCAAACAGGAUUAGAUACCCUUGUAGUCCCAUG
This 475-nucleotide ribosomal RNA is filed under the name uncultured organism. RNAcentral's name for it is "partial 16S ribosomal RNA". It matches the Rfam family "Bacterial small subunit ribosomal RNA", at positions 333 to 799 of the family's 1533-position model. The record is from RNAcentral.